CGGGGGGGCAAGCGUUGUUCGGAAUUACUGGGCGUAAAGGGCUCGUAGGCGGCCAACUAAGUCAGACGUGAAAUCCCCAGGCUCAACCUGGGAACUGCGUCUGAUACUGGUUGGCUUGAAUUCGGGAGAGGGAUGCAGAAUUCCAGGUGUAGCGGUGAAAUGCGUAGAUAUCUGGAGGAAUACCGGUGGCGAAGGCGGCAUCCUGGACCGACAUUGACGCUGAGGAGCGAAAGCUAGGGGAGCAAACGGGAUUAGAUACCCCGGUAGUCCUAGCCCUAAACGAUGAAUGCUUGGUGUGACGGGUAUCGAUCCCUGUCGUGCCGAAGCUAACGCAUUAAGCAUUCCGCCUGGGGAGUACGGUCGCAAGGCUG
This 371-nucleotide ribosomal RNA is filed under the name uncultured organism. Its description in RNAcentral is "bacterial SSU rRNA". It matches the Rfam family "Bacterial small subunit ribosomal RNA", at positions 527 to 896 of the family's 1533-position model. The record is from RNAcentral.